UACGGAGGGUGCGAGCGUUGUCCGGAAUCAUUGGGCGUAAAGGGCGCGUAGGUGGCGGGACAAGCGUGCGGUGAAAGCUUGGGGGCUCAACCCCCGAGUCGGCCGUGCGAACUGUCUUGCUUGAGCACUGUAGAGGCAGGCGGAAUUCCGGGGUGUAGCGGUGGAAUGCGUAGAGAUCGGGAGGAACACCAGUGGCGAAAGCGGCUCUCUGGUCCAAAACUGACGCUGAGGGGCGAAAGCGUGGGGAGCGAACGGG
RNAcentral lists this ribosomal RNA (256 nucleotides) under uncultured bacterium. RNAcentral describes it as "partial 16S ribosomal RNA". It matches the Rfam family "Bacterial small subunit ribosomal RNA", at positions 524 to 776 of the family's 1533-position model. The record is from RNAcentral.